Molecule: non-coding RNA, 672 nt
Filed under: Halomonas sp. SUBG004
Lineage: Bacteria; Pseudomonadati; Pseudomonadota; Gammaproteobacteria; Oceanospirillales; Halomonadaceae
Description: bacterial LSU rRNA
Rfam family: Bacterial large subunit ribosomal RNA
Source: RNAcentral
GGUAGAGGAGCGUCGUGAAGCCGAUGAAGGUGUGUUGAGAAGCAUGCUGGAGGUAUCACGAGUGCGAAUGCUGACAUGAGUAACGAUAAAGGGAGUGAAAAAACUCCCUCGCCGGAAGACCAAGGGUUUCUGUUCGACGCUAAUCGGAGCAGAGUGAGUCGGCCCCUAAGGCGAGGCCGAAAGGCGUAGUCGAUGGGAAACGGGUCAAUAUUCCCGUACCGGACAUGAUUGCGAUGGGGGGACGGAGAAGGCUAGGUGAGCCAGGCGUUGGUUGUCCUGGUGAAAGUGAGUAGGCUGAGUGCUUAGGUAAAUCCGGGCGCUCAAGGCCGAGACACGAAACGAAGACACUACGGUGUCGAAGUCAUUGAUGCCACGCUUCCAGGAAAAGCCUCUAAGCUUCAGAUCAUGUGCGACCGUACCCCAAACCGACACAGGUGGUCAGGGUGAGAAUCCCAAGCGCUUGAGAGAACUCGGGUGAAGGAACUAGGCAAAAUGGUGCCGUAACUUCGGGAGAAGGCACGCCGGCGUAGGGUGAGAGGACUUGCUCCUUCAGCCCGAACCGGUCGAAGAUACCAGGUGGCUGCAACUGUUUAGUAAAAACACAGCACUCUGCUAACGCGCAAGCGGACGUAUAGGGUGUGACGCCUGCCCGGUGCCGGAAGGUUAAGUGAU